RNAcentral lists this long non-coding RNA (688 nucleotides) under Salmo salar (Atlantic salmon). Its description in RNAcentral is "lncRNA (ENSSSAG00000105066.1)". The record is from RNAcentral. Lineage: Eukaryota; Metazoa; Chordata; Actinopteri; Salmoniformes; Salmonidae.
UGGAAUAUUAUUACUAAAUGAUUGUUUGGAGUUCAUUGCGAUUGGUAAUGUGGAUCGUGACAUUUCAGUGGCUCGUUGCUGGUUCCAGAAUUCAAUGCACCCUCGUUCCCACUGUGAAGAACACGCCAAAGGGAUACGUUGUAAUUCAAAAAGCCAUAGAGGGGAAUACUAAAACCCCAAAGGACAAGGCAUCGGGGGCAAGCACCUUGACACUUCCGUUUUUGCUGCAGUUGGGACUGAUGGUUGCACCUGCCUUACUUCAAACUCUGCUGUAGCACUUGCUAUGCUCUCCUUCCACAAGACUCUGCAGAACUUCUGCAAGAACGGGGGCAACAACAUAACAAUAGCUUUAAUGACUAGGCCUACUAUAUUUACCUGUACUGUAGACCCUAGCUGACCCGUUUCCAUGACUGAACACCAUGAUAUUCUUAACCCAAAUGACCUUGUAAUAAUCAUACAGAAACAGAAAUAAAGUUGUGUAUCUACACUCUUCUUGAUAUUUUCUAUCUCUGUCUAAUAGAUGGAGCCAUGUGCAGACUAUGCCUAUGACAUAUUGUGGGCUAGGGAUAGGCUAGGCAUUAGCCUUGAAAACCACCCUGGUUUCUUUACCUGGCUGCCACACCCCUCCCUCAGAGCUCUGGGUCUGCUCAGCUUCCUUUACUUCCUGUUGUGUCGAGCUCCUCUCCAC